RNA transcript from Serinus canaria (Common canary), 2019 nucleotides. It is a transcript of the gene named misato mitochondrial distribution and morphology regulator 1, with no coding region annotated. The record is from RefSeq and is a predicted model, not a curated record. Lineage: Eukaryota; Metazoa; Chordata; Aves; Passeriformes; Fringillidae. The transcript is spliced from 14 exons.
CCGCCCCCGCUCGCGUCUCCGCCCGUCCGGGGCGGGCCCCGUGACGCGCUCCCGGUUCCUGCGGCGGGGCCAUGCUGGGGGAGGCGGUCACGCUGCAGCUCGGCCACUACUCGGGCUGCGUGGGCGCGCACUGGUGGGGGCUGCAGGCCGCCGCGCUGCGCAGCCCCGCCGAGCCCGCCGAGCUCCGCGCGGCCGCGCUGCUCCGCUUCGGGCGGGGCCCGGGCGGCACCGAGAGCCCCGCGCCGCGGCUGGUGGCGCUGGAGCUGAAAGGCGGCGUGGGCGCGCUCAGACCGGACGAGGCGGGCACGGAGCCGCCGGUGAGCUGGGACGGGGCUAUCGCCGAUUACCGGGACCGGGACUGCGCGUCGCGGGACACCGGGAGCCGCAGGGGAGACGCUGCCGGGGACGCCAAGGGGAAUCCCGGUGCUGCGGGACCAGGUGCAGCUCCUGCAGGCUCCCAGGACGCUCCCUCAGUGAGGCUCUGGUCUGAUUACCUCAACGUGCCCCUGCACCCCAAGAGCCUCUACGUGAUCCGGCAGUACCUGCACGAUGGGGACUGUGGUUGUCUCGAAGCCUUUGGGCAGGGUGAAAGUCUCCUGCAGGACCCUGCCUGUGUGGAGGAGUUGGAAGAUCGGCUGCACUUCUACGUGGAGGAGUGUGACUACCUUCAGGGGUUUCAGGUGCUUUGUGACCUGCACAAUGGAUUCUCUGGAGUUGGUGCCAAGGUGACAGAGCUGCUCCACGACGAGUACUCACGGAAGGGGAUCCUGACCUGGGGCCUGACUCCAGCCCUGAGUGCUGUGGGAGACCCUCAGAAGAGUUUCUGCAGACUGAUGAACACAGCCCUGGGCAUUGCCCACCUCUCCCGUCACAGCUCUCUCUUCUGCCCCCUGUCCCUCAGCGGGAGUUUGGGACUCAAGCCAGAACCUCCUGUGACCUUUCCAUACAUAAAUUACAAUGCAUCCCUGAACUACCACAGCAGUGCAAUUCUGGCUGCAGCACUCGACACCCUCACGGCUCCCUACAGGCUCUGCUCCUCCCAGGCCUCCAUGCUGCACUUUGCCGACUCCCUCACCUUCUCUGGGAGGAAGGUUGUGGCUGCCUGGGCAGCUCUUCCCUUCCCUGCCUUGUCGGGCUCCUCGCUCCCUGAUGUUCUAAGUGCCCACCAGGACCUGCCCUGGAAGCUCCUGUCCUCCUGGAAGGAGCAGAAGGUCAGCUCCUGCUUUGCUCAGUCUGUUGUGCUGCGAGGAAUGUGCCAGGAGAAAGCCACCAGCAGCUGCCCAGGCCAGCCCAGGUCCCCCCUGCACAGCUGUGAGAGCCCUGGGCAGGUGCUGCAGCACCACCUGCACUCCCAGUUCCCAGGAGCCUUCAGCACAUGCCAGGUGCUCCAGCAGCCCUGCCACACCCAGCCUCCCUUCCCCCAGUUCUUCUCUCCUCUCCUGAGCAGACGAGGCUUCCUCCUGGAUAGAGCUCAGGGCUUUUCCUCAGCAGGUAACAAACACCCCUUCAACCCUGCAGCACAGAGAUCAGGGCCUGACAGAGCUCAAAAUGAUCAACAACAGCCCAGAGUUAUUAACAACAAACCGAAAUUAUUGAAAACCAAAAUUACUGAAAACCAAAAUUACUGAAAACCAAAAUUACCAACAACGAGCCGAGCCGGUGUGCAGAGCUGAGCUCGGGCUCGGUGCUUGUGACAGCACAGGGGACAAGCUGAGGCUGUGGUGGCUCUUUAACCCCUGCAGGUGUGGAGAGCAUCCCUGUGCUGGCAGCCCUGCACAGCUGUGAGAGCUGAGCUCCAGCUCGGUGCUUGUGACAGCACAGGGACAAGCUGAGGUUCUGGUGGCUCUUUAACCCCUUGUGACAGCUCCAGCCGGGUGCUGUGACAGCACAGGGACAAGCUGAGGCUGUGGUGGCUCUUUAACCCCUUGUGACAGCUCCAGCUGGGUGCUGUGACAGCACAGGGGACAAGCUGAGGCUGUGGUGGCUCUUUAACCCCUGCUGUGCUGUCACCCUGCAGAG